AACGCUAGCUACAGGCUUAACACAUGCAAGUCGAGGGGCAGCAUGAACUUAGCUUGCUAAGUUUGAUGGCGACCGGCGCACGGGUGAGUAACACGUAUCCAACCUGCCGAUGACUCGGGGAUAGCCUUUCGAAAGAAAGAUUAAUACCCGAUGGCAUAGUUCUUCCGCAUGGUAGAACUAUUAAAGAAUUUCGGUCAUCGAUGGGGAUGCGUUCCAUUAGGUUGUUGGCGGGGUAACGGCCCACCAAGCCUUCGAUGGAUAGGGGUUCUGAGAGGAAGGUCCCCCACAUUGGAACUGAGACACGGUCCAAACUCCUACGGGAGGCAGCAGUGAGGAAUAUUGGUCAAUGGACGAGAGUCUGAACCAGCCAAGUAGCGUGAAGGAUGACUGCCCUAUGGGUUGUAAACUUCUUUUAUACGGGAAUAAAGUGAGGCACGUGUGCCUUUUUGUAUGUACCGUAUGAAUAAGGAUCGGCUAACUCCGUGCCAGCAGCCGCGGUAAUACGGAGGAUCCGAGCGUUAUCCGGAUUUAUUGGGUUUAAAGGGAGCGUAGGCGGACGCUUAAGUCAGUUGUGAAAGUUUGCGGCUCAACCGUAAAAUUGCAGUUGAUACUGGGUGUCUUGAGUACAGUAGAGGCAGGCGGAAUUCGUGGUGUAGCGGUGAAAUGCUUAGAUAUCACGAAGAACUCCGAUUG
Molecule: ribosomal RNA, 693 nt
Filed under: uncultured bacterium
Lineage: Bacteria
Also listed under: 2 other names
Description: bacterial SSU rRNA
Rfam family: Bacterial small subunit ribosomal RNA
Source: RNAcentral